Molecule: non-coding RNA, 390 nt
Organism: Enterobacter cancerogenus ATCC 35316
Lineage: Bacteria; Pseudomonadati; Pseudomonadota; Gammaproteobacteria; Enterobacterales; Enterobacteriaceae
Source: Rfam
UAAAUGUCACUCCAGACCAUAUCCUAAGCUCCUGAUAAUUAUGAAGGUAAACGUUUGCCUUCUCUCACCCUUAUUCCGCAAUCUUGAAUUGCGACACGCCGGGAAAACGACACAGGACGUCAGGAGGGGGUCAAUGGCCGGUACGCUAAUAAAUUUAGCGUGGAAUUUUGUCCUAUCUUGAUGAAAAGGGGAAGAGCAAAAGUGGAUAUCAGGUUAAAACCAGGAAGAUUUUUGACCUGAACUGUGUAAAAAUGAGCAAGCUCACUUUUCGUGGGGUGAUUAAAAGGAGAAAAAUUGAUGAGUUCCGAUCUGAAGUUUUCGCUGGUUACCACCGUUAUUGUGCUGGCAUUGAUUGUGGCCGGUGGUUUAACGGCUGCGCUGCACUGAUUC